GGCCCCAGAUGAUCCUAGAGCUGCCCCCAAAGCCCUAAGCUACCCACACCCUGGCGUUUGCGUGCAAGAUGUAUGACCUCAAUACUCUUCUGUCGUUCAUAGAGACUUGGAAUCUUCAUGUUUAUGCCUCUUUAUCACAUUAUGUCAUUAUUGCAUCUUAAAUUUCUUGUCAUUCUGCUGGCUGAAAAGUGCAAUUUCCAACUUUUGAGACAGGCAAAGCUAAUGUGCCAAAUCCAAUUUUGGCGGGUCAUCCACUGCCAUCUAUCAACCAAGACCACACCAAGACCACACUGCAUUGGAGAUCAUUGCCAAUGAAGCUGUUGCUGAUGAGAGCGUUACUGGGAUGACCAUGUUCCCACGAGGAAGGCAGAUCUUUGGGGCUGCAUCUCGGGAAGAACAUUGAAGGGUUGCUGUCCCCAAGCAGUGUCUACCAGCACCCUCCCCAUUUCGUGACUCGGACGUUCACUCUGCCCUCCAUCUCAUGAACACUGUUCGAAACAUGCAGCUUCAGGACAGGCCCCAGCCUCCUCCCACACUGGUUGCCGGCCCUAAGCUGCGGCUGUUGGAAACACAGGUCUUAGGAACCACGAGGUCCAACCUUCGCAUUUUAAAGCCAAGAAAACUUGUCAGUCAGCUAGUAAUGGCAGAGCCAGAGCUAGAACUGCAGACUCCUAACACCUCAGUGACAACUAUUUCUACUAGAUUCCACUGCUUCUUGAGUCAGCAGAGUUGCGACUCCCGAGAAGCAAUCAGAUGCCGGUGCCCACACUUGUAAUUCUUCACACGGCAAUGAUUUGGGGAAGAUUGAGAACACAUGACAUCAUGAGUUUAUCCAAAUUACUUUGUUUGAAGAAAAAAACAUACUUGUGAUCUGCAAGACUUAAUGAAUGAGCUAAUACAGUGGAUGUUUCCUCAGGACAGCUGUAAGUAGGACAAAUAUUUGUCUACUACAGCGGUUGUGUAUUUGCUUUGACUUUGUCUUGGCAUAUUUUUUAAUGGAAUCUUCUUUCACUCUGA
Talpa occidentalis (Iberian mole) is the source of this 1017-nucleotide long non-coding RNA. RefSeq lists it as uncharacterized. Lineage: Eukaryota; Metazoa; Chordata; Mammalia; Eulipotyphla; Talpidae. The transcript is spliced from 3 exons. The record is from RefSeq and is a predicted model, not a curated record.